UAGGGAAUCUUCGGCAAUGGACGAAAGUCUGACCGAGCAACGCCGCGUGAGUGAAGAAGGUUUUCGGAUCGUAAAACUCUGUUGUUAGAGAAGAACAAGGACGUUAGUAACUGAACGUCCCCUGACGGUAUCUAACCAGAAAGCCACGGCUAACUACGUGCCAGCAGCCGCGGUAAUACGUAGGUGGCAAGCGUUGUCCGGAUUUAUUGGACGUAAAGCGAGCGCAGGCGGUUUCUUAAGUCUGAUGUGAAAGCCCCCGGCUCAACCGGGGAGGGUCAUUGGAAACUGGGAGACUUGAGAUCAGAAGAGGUGAGUGGAAUUCCAUGUGUAGCGGUGAAUUGCGUAGAUAUAUGGAGGAACACCAGGGGAGAAGGCGGCUCUCUGGUCUGUAACUGACGCUGAGGCUCGAAAGCGUGGGGAGCAAACAGG
This 429-nucleotide ribosomal RNA is filed under the name Gemmatimonadota bacterium. RNAcentral describes it as "Gemmatimonadetes bacterium partial 16S ribosomal RNA". It matches the Rfam family "Bacterial small subunit ribosomal RNA", at positions 355 to 776 of the family's 1533-position model. Lineage: Bacteria; Pseudomonadati; Gemmatimonadota. The record is from RNAcentral.